Daphnia pulicaria is the source of this 885-nucleotide long non-coding RNA. RefSeq lists it as uncharacterized. NCBI's taxonomy places the organism in Eukaryota, Metazoa, Arthropoda, Branchiopoda, Diplostraca, Daphniidae. The record is from RefSeq and is a predicted model, not a curated record. The transcript has 3 exons.
UAUCUCCGACACGGCUACAAUCCGCUACAUCCGCUACAACUGCUGUGCACUAUCUGCCCUCAGCUACCUUCCUCAUCGUAUUACCACUAUGCAAUCAUGAUUAACUAUGGUGUCGUCCUGCCGUUGUGUGUUGCAUCGUUGAUGGCUGGGUCGACCAUUGGUGUUCCGAUGUCUCCUGGGUAUGGUGAAUUCCAAACUGCAACGCCGCCGCCUUACUACACAUCAACAACAUACGCAAUAACCGGUUACUACACCACCAAGGUUCCAGACUAUUACACCACAACUUUUGAUGCCCCGAGCUGCAUCACCAAAGUGUCGUAGUACUUCACCGAGGCUCGCAAUUACUACACCACUAAGGCACCGGAAUAUUACGUAUGCUGCCGCUGCCUACUACACCGAGGCUCCUAAUUACUACAAAACCCAAGCGCCCAAUAAGCUAUGGCGUUGUGCUGCUGUUGAUUGUUGUCUUCAAAUACCAGACCAUCGAGGUUCCAGAAUAUUACACUACAACUUAUGCUGCCCUGAACUGCAUCACCAAAGUGCCUGAGUGCUACACCAUGGCUCCCAAGUACGACUACGUGCGCUGCCCCAACUUGCUAAAUCGGGACUCCUAAGUAUUACUCUGCUUCAGUUACUACAUCGAGGCUUCAACUUACUAUAUCACCAAAACUGCUGAAUACUAUACCGAAGUGCUAAGUACUACACCACCAUGCUAGAGAAUAUUACACCACAACUUAUGCUGUCCUAGCUACUACUCCGCAGCCCAGGUUUAUUAUACUACACCGAGCCCGAUUAGAUCACUAUGGCCCUGGAGUACUACACCACAACCUACGUUGCCCCAGCUUACUACAUCGUGGCUUCCAAGUACUACACCACCAAGGCACC